GGGUUGUGAGGUUAAGCGACUAAGCGUACACGGUGGAUGCCCUGGCAGUCAGAGGCGAUGAAGGACGUGCUAAUCUGCGAAAAGCGCCGGCGAGGUGAUAUGAACCUUUGACCCGGCGAUGUCCGAAUGGGGAAACCCAGUGCAAUCCGUUGCACUAUCGUUUGAUGAAUACAUAGUCAAACGAGGCGAACCGGGGGAACUGAAACAUCUAAGUACCCCGAGGAAAAGAAAUCAACCGAGAUUCCCCCAGUAGCGGCGAGCGAACGGGGAGCAGCCCAGAGCCUGAAUCAGCUUGUGUGUUAGUGGAACGGUCUGGAAAGUCCGGCGAUACAGGGUGACAGCCCCGUACACGAAAGCACACAGGCUGUGAGCUCGAUGAGUAGGGCGGGACACGUGGUAUCCUGUCUGAAUAUGGGGGGACCAUCCUCCAAGGCUAAAUACUCCUGACUGACCGAUAGUGAACCAGUACCGUGAGGGAAAGGCGAAAAGAACCCCGGCGAGGGGAGUGAAAAAGAACCUGAAACCGUGUACGUACAAGCAGUGGGAGCCUCUUAAUGGGGUGACUGCGUACCUUUUGUAUAAUGGGUCAGCGACUUAUAUUCUGUAGCAAGGUUAACCGAAUAGGGGAGCCGAAGGGAAACCGAGUCUUAACUGGGCGUUAAGUUGCAGGGUAUAGACCCGAAACCCGGUGAUCUAGCCAUGGGCAGGUUGAAGGUUGGGUAACACUAACUGGAGGACCGAACCGACUAAUGUUGAAAAAUUAGCGGAUGACUUGUGGCUGGGGGUGAAAGGCCAAUCAAACCGGGAGAUAGCUGGUUCUCCCCGAAAGCUAUUUAGGUAGCGCCUCGUGAAUUCAUCUCCGGGGGUAGAGCACUGUUUCGGCUAGGGGGCCAUCCCGGCUUACCAACCCGAUGCAAACUACGAAUACCGGAGAAUGUUAUCACGGGAGACACACGGCGGGUGCUAACGUCCGUCGUGAAGAGGGAAACAACCCAGACCGCCAGCUAAGGUCCCAAAGUCAUGGUUAAGUGGGAAACGAUGUGGGAAGGCACAGACAGCCAGGAUGUUGGCUUAGAAGCAGCCAUCAUUUAAAGAAAGCGUAAUAGCUCACUGGUCGAGUCGGCCUGCGCGGAAGAUGUAACGGGGCUAAACCAUGCACCGAAGCUGCGGCAGCGACACUAAGUGUUGUUGGGUAGGGGAGCGUUCUGUAAGCCUGCGAAGGUGUGCUGUGAGGCAUGCUGGAGGUAUCAGAAGUGCGAAUGCUGACAUAAGUAACGAUAAAGCGGGUGAAAAGCCCGCUCGCCGGAAGACCAAGGGUUCCUGUCCAACGUUAAUCGGGGCAGGGUGAGUCGACCCCUAAGGCGAGGCCGAAAGGCGUAGUCGAUGGGAAACAGGUUAAUAUUCCUGUACUUGGUGUUACUGCGAAGGGGGGACGGAGAAGGCUAUGUUAGCCGGGCGACGGUUGUCCCGGUUUAAGCAUGUAGGCUGGUUAUCCAGGCAAAUCCGGAUAAUCAAGGCUGAGGUGUGAUGACGAGUCACUACGGUGAUGAAGUAACAAAUGCCCUGCUUCCAGGAAAAGCCUCUAAGCAUCAGGUAACACGAAAUCGUACCCCAAACCGACACAGGUGGUCAGGUAGAGAAUACCAAGGCGCUUGAGAGAACUCGGGUGAAGGAACUAGGCAAAAUGGUGCCGUAACUUCGGGAGAAGGCACGCUGAUAUGUAGGUGAAGCCCCUGCGGGUGGAGCUGAAAUCAGUCGAAGAUACCAGCUGGCUGCAACUGUUUAUUAAAAACACAGCACUGUGCAAACACGAAAGUGGACGUAUACGGUGUGACGCCUGCCCGGUGCCGGAAGGUUAAUUGAUGGGGUUAUCCGUAAGGAGAAGCUCUUGAUCGAAGCCCCGGUAAACGGCGGCCGUAACUAUAACGGUCCUAAGGUAGCGAAAUUCCUUGUCGGGUAAGUUCCGACCUGCACGAAUGGCGUAAUGAUGGCCAGGCUGUCUCCACCCGAGACUCAGUGAAAUUGAACUCGCUGUGAAGAUGCAGUGUACCCGCGGCAAGACGGAAAGACCCCGUGAACCUUUACUAUAGCUUGACACUGAACAUUGAGCCUUGAUGUGUAGGAUAGGUGGGAGGCUUUGAAGCGUGGACGCCAGUCUGCGUGGAGCCAACCUUGAAAUACCACCCUUUAAUGUUUGAUGUUCUAACGUGGACCCGUGAUCCGGGUUGCGGACAGUGUCUGGUGGGUAGUUUGACUGGGGCGGUCUCCUCCCAAAGAGUAACGGAGGAGCACGAAGGUUGGCUAAUCCUGGUCGGACAUCAGGAGGUUAGUGCAAUGGCAUAAGCCAGCUUGACUGCGAGCGUGACGGCGCGAGCAGGUGCGAAAGCAGGUCAUAGUGAUCCGGUGGUUCUGAAUGGAAGGGCCAUCGCUCAACGGAUAAAAGGUACUCCGGGGAUAACAGGCUGAUACCGCCCAAGAGUUCAUAUCGACGGCGGUGUUUGGCACCUCGAUGUCGGCUCAUCACAUCCUGGGGCUGAAGUAGGUCCCAAGGGUAUGGCUGUUCGCCAUUUAAAGUGGUACGCGAGCUGGGUUUAGAACGUCGUGAGACAGUUCGGUCCCUAUCUGCCGUGGGCGCUGGAGAAUUGAGGGGGGCUGCUCCUAGUACGAGAGGACCGGAGUGGACGCAUCACUGGUGUUCGGGUUGUCAUGCCAAUGGCACUGCCCGGUAGCUACAUGCGGAAAAGAUAAGUGCUGAAAGCAUCUAAGCACGAAACUUGCCCCGAGAUGAGUUCUCCCCUGGACUUUAAGUCCACUAAAGGAACGUUGAAGACGACGACGUUGAUAGGCCGGGUGUGUAAGCGCAGCGAUGCGUUGAGCUAACCGGUACUAAUGAACCGUGAGGCUUAACCUUACAACGCCGAAG
This 2923-nucleotide ribosomal RNA is filed under the name Enterobacteriaceae bacterium ENNIH2. Its description in RNAcentral is "23S ribosomal RNA". It matches the Rfam family "Bacterial large subunit ribosomal RNA". Lineage: Bacteria; Pseudomonadati; Pseudomonadota; Gammaproteobacteria; Enterobacterales; Enterobacteriaceae. The record is from RNAcentral. RNAcentral also lists the same sequence under 1 other name.